RNAcentral lists this ribosomal RNA (465 nucleotides) under Vreelandella stevensii. Its description in RNAcentral is "partial 16S ribosomal RNA". It matches the Rfam family "Bacterial small subunit ribosomal RNA", at positions 338 to 795 of the family's 1533-position model. The record is from RNAcentral. Lineage: Bacteria; Pseudomonadati; Pseudomonadota; Gammaproteobacteria; Oceanospirillales; Halomonadaceae.
CCUACGGGAGGCUGCAGUGGGGAAUAUUGGACAAUGGGCGAAAGCCUGAUCCAGCCAUGCCGCGUGUGUGAAGAAGGCCUUCGGGUUGUAAAGCACUUUCAGUGGGGAAGAAAGCCUUGGGUCUAAUACCCUCGAGGAAGGACAUCACCCACAGAAGAAGCACCGGCUAACUCCGUGCCAGCAGCCGCGGUAAUACGGAGGGUGCGAGCGUUAAUCGGAAUUACUGGGCGUAAAGCGCGCGUAGGCGGUCUGAUAAGCCGGUUGUGAAAGCCCCGGGCUCAACCUGGGAACGGCAUCCGGAACUGUCAGGCUAGAGUGCAGGAGAGGAAGGUAGAAUUCCCGGUGUAGCGGUGAAAUGCGUAGAGAUCGGGAGGAAUACCAGUGGCGAAGGCGGCCUUCUGGACUGACACUGACGCUGAGGUGCGAAAGCGUGGGUAGCAAACAGGAUUAGAUACCCCAGUAGUC